This 402-nucleotide unclassified non-coding RNA is filed under the name Hevea brasiliensis (rubber tree). The record is from RNAcentral. Lineage: Eukaryota; Viridiplantae; Streptophyta; Magnoliopsida; Malpighiales; Euphorbiaceae.
GCUCUGACAGACAUGUUUGCUGACAGUGUGGUGCCAGUACUGCUUCAAUCUGCAGUGUUAGUUAGAGAGAAUAAGACUAGCAGAGCUGAAGAAAUAUUGGGGCAGUUUGCUGAAAAGUUCCCUGAGAAAUCCAAGAUUGUUUUUCUUGCAAGGGCACAAAUUGCUGCUGCUGCUGGCCAUCCUCAAAUUGCAGCCGACUCACUGGCUAAGAUACCUGAUAUUCAGCACAAGCCUGCCACUGUUGCCACCAUUGUGGCUCUUAAAGAGCGGGCUGGAGAUAUUGAUGGUGCAUCUGCCAUCCUUGACUCUGCAAUCAAUGGUGGUCAAAUGCUAUGACUGAGNACUGGAUGUUAUAAUGCAAGAAGCUGCUUCGUUCAAGAUCAGGCAUGGGCGGGAGGAAGA